UGACGUUAGCGGCGGACGGGUGAGUAACACGUGGAUAACCUACCUAUAAGACUGGGAUAACUUCGGGAAACCGGAGCUAAUACCGGAUAACAUAUUGAACCGCAUGGUUCAAUAGUGAAAGGCGGCUUUGCUGUCACUUAUAGAUGGAUCCGCGCCGUAUUAGCUAGUUGGUAAGGUAACGGCUUACCAAGGCAACGAUACGUAGCCGACCUGAGAGGGUGAUCGGCCACACUGGAACUGAGACACGGUCCAGACUCCUACGGGAGGCAGCAGUAGGGAAUCUUCCGCAAUGGGCGAAAGCCUGACGGAGCAACGCCGCGUGAGUGAUGAAGGUCUUCGGAUCGUAAAACUCUGUUAUCAGGGAAGAACAAAUGUGUAAGUAACUGUGCACAUCUUGACGGUACCUGAUCAGAAAGCCACGGCUAACUACGUGCCAGCAGCCGCGGUAAUACGUAGGUGGCAAGCGUUAUCCGGAAUUAUUGGGCGUAAAGCGCGCGUAGGCGGUUUUUUAAGUCUGAUGUGAAAGCCCACGGCUCAACCGUGGAGGGUCAUUGGAAACUGGAAAACUUGAGUGCAGAAGAGGAAAGUGGAAUUCCAUGUGUAGCGGUGAAAUGCGCAGAGAUAUGGAGGAACACCAGUGGCGAAGGCGACUUUCUGGUCUGUAACUGACGCUGAUGUGCGAAAGCGUGGGGAUCAAACAGGAUUAGAUACCCUGGUAGUCCACGCCGUAAACGAUGAGUGCUAAGUGUUAGGGGGUUUCCGCCUCUUAGUGCUGCAGCUAACGCAUUAAGCACUCCGCCUGGG
RNAcentral lists this ribosomal RNA (804 nucleotides) under Staphylococcus sp. B-134-1-3. Its description in RNAcentral is "bacterial SSU rRNA". It matches the Rfam family "Bacterial small subunit ribosomal RNA", at positions 87 to 877 of the family's 1533-position model. Lineage: Bacteria; Bacillati; Bacillota; Bacilli; Caryophanales; Staphylococcaceae. The record is from RNAcentral.